RNAcentral lists this ribosomal RNA (585 nucleotides) under uncultured bacterium. RNAcentral describes it as "partial 16S ribosomal RNA". It matches the Rfam family "Bacterial small subunit ribosomal RNA", at positions 355 to 1375 of the family's 1533-position model. The record is from RNAcentral.
UGGGGAAUUUUGGACAAUGGGCGAAAGCCUGAUCCAGCAAUGCCGCGUGUGUGAAGAAGGCCUUCGGGUUGUAAAGCACUUUUGUCCGGAAAGAAAUCCUUGGCUCUAAUACAGUCGGGGGAUGACGGUACCGGAAGAAUAAGCACCGGCUAACUACGUGCCAGCAGCCGCGGUAAUACGUAGGGUGCAAGCGUUAAUCGGAAUUACUGGGCGUAAAGCGUGCGCAGGCGGUUUGCUAAGACCGAUGUGAAAUCCCCGGGCUCAACCUGGGAACUGCAUUGGUGACUGGCAGGCUAGAGUAUGGCAGAGGGGGGUAGAAUUCCACGUGUAGCAGUGAAAUGCGUAGAGAUGUGGAGGAAUACCGAUGGCGAAGGCAGCCCCCUGGGCCAAUACUGACGCUCAUGCACGAAAGCGUGGGGAGCAAACAGGAUUAGAUACCCUGGUAGUCCACGCCCUAAACGAUGUCAACUAGUUGUCGGGGAUUCAUUUCCUUAGUAACGUAGCUAACGCGUGAAGUUGACCGCCUGGGGAGUACGGUCGCAAGAUUAAAACUCAAAUGAAUUGACGGGGUCAUAGCUGUUUCCU